RNAcentral lists this transfer RNA (67 nucleotides) under Lepetodrilus guaymasensis. Its description in RNAcentral is "tRNA-Glu". The record is from RNAcentral. Lineage: Eukaryota; Metazoa; Mollusca; Gastropoda; Lepetellida; Lepetodrilidae.
GUUCUUAUGGUGUAGUCUGCACGUUAGGUUUUCGUCCUGGAGGAAUGUCAGAUUGACAUUAAGGACU